This 234-nucleotide unclassified non-coding RNA is filed under the name plant metagenome. Its description in RNAcentral is "partial contains small subunit ribosomal RNA, internal transcribed spacer 1, and 5.8S ribosomal RNA". The stretch from base 1 to 54 matches the Rfam family "Eukaryotic small subunit ribosomal RNA", at positions 1778 to 1831 of the family's 1831-position model. The record is from RNAcentral.
GGAAGUAAAAGCCGUAACAAGGUCUCCGUUGGUGAACCAGCGGAGGGAUCAUUACAGGAUCGAAAGACUCCUAUAACCCCUGUGAACUUACUACAAAUACGUUGCUUCGGCGGGUGCCCCGGGUCUCCCGGGGCGUUCAGCCCGCCGGCAGCCUUCAAAUUCUGUUUCUUUGCGUUGGCAUCUCGAGUAUACAAAAAUAAGUUAAAACUUUCAACAACGGAUCUCUUGGUUCUG